AUUAAUUUAAAAAUAUGUAAAAUUAAUAUUAAAUUAUUUUUAUUUUAGUCGACUUUCUCUCUCCCAUUUUAUUUGCUUCGUAUUUUCUCGCAUUUUCCUUCCAAGUUGCCUACAGGCUACAACCAGCCAUUUCGGUAAGAAUCCGAGUUGCCUAGAAAACCUUUGCACGAAGGUAAAAUGGGCUUUGGCAAACAAGGCCUUCCGAGUUCAUGGCACUGCUCAAAGCCCUAACUCAGCGAGUAUAAAUAUGGAGACAGCAUCGUUUUAACAAACCGCGGCCUCCUUCUCAGGUCAUUCUAAGCACAGCAGAUUGAGAAACUUUAAUGUUUCGCGAACCUCAGACUCAACAGAGUGUGAUCUCUUUCUCUUGCUUUUUGGUUCAAAUAUAUGUUUUGGGUCUCUUUCAAAAGAAUUGUUCAAGAUAACCCUUAUUUUUAUCAGGUAAGCAUUAGUUUGAAGCUGCA
Long non-coding RNA from Vitis vinifera (wine grape), 464 nucleotides. RefSeq lists it as uncharacterized. NCBI's taxonomy places the organism in Eukaryota, Viridiplantae, Streptophyta, Magnoliopsida, Vitales, Vitaceae. The record is from RefSeq and is a predicted model, not a curated record. The transcript is spliced from 2 exons.